RNAcentral lists this ribosomal RNA (254 nucleotides) under uncultured bacterium. Its description in RNAcentral is "partial 16S ribosomal RNA". It matches the Rfam family "Bacterial small subunit ribosomal RNA", at positions 524 to 775 of the family's 1533-position model. The record is from RNAcentral.
UACGAAGGGGGCUAGCGUUGCUCGGAAUCACUGGGCGUAAAGCGCACGUAGGCGGAUUGCUAAGUCAGGGGUGAAAUCCUGGAGCUCAACUCCAGAACUGCCCUUGAUACUGGCGGUCUCGAGUCCGGGAGAGGUGAGUGGAACUGCGAGUGUAGAGGUGAAAUUCGUAGAUAUUCGCAAGAACACCAGUGGCGAAGGCGGCUCACUGGCCCGGGUACUGAACGCUGAGGUGCGAAAGCGUGGGGAGCAAACGG